Molecule: ribosomal RNA, 320 nt
Filed under: uncultured eukaryote
Lineage: Eukaryota
Description: partial 18S ribosomal RNA
Rfam family: Eukaryotic small subunit ribosomal RNA
Source: RNAcentral
CCCUUAGAUGUUCUGGGCCGCACGCGCGCUACACUGACGAAUGCAACGAGCUUAUAACCUUGGCCGAAAGGUCUGGGUAAUCUCCAAAUUUCGUCGUGAUGGGGAUAGAUUAUUGCAAUUAUUAAUCUUCAACGAGGAAUGCCUAGUAAACGCAAGUCAUCAGCUUGCAUUGAUUACGUCCCUGCCCUUUGUACACACCGCCCGUCGCACCUACCGAUUGAAUGGUCCGGUGAAAUCUCGGGACGGCGGCUUGGUCGCUUGCGUCCGACUGCUGAAACUUGAUUAAACCAUAUCAUUUAGAGGAAGGUGAANUCGUAACA